RNAcentral lists this long non-coding RNA (2237 nucleotides) under Triticum aestivum (bread wheat). Its description in RNAcentral is "long non-coding RNA (TAES_LNC016560)". Lineage: Eukaryota; Viridiplantae; Streptophyta; Magnoliopsida; Poales; Poaceae. The record is from RNAcentral.
AAAAAACAAUGUUUCAGCAUUCGUGUUGAUUCUUGUACACCGAGAUUCACAAUUUCUGGGAAUUCUUUGAAUAAAACAUCCAUCCCCAGGAUAUCUAAUACUUCCACAUGAAAAUGAAGAAGAAAAACAUGGCAGAAAUCAUCCAUCAGUUGAGCUUAAAACAUGAUAGAAGGUGACAAAAGUAUGUCAGACUGACAAUAACUAAUAGAUAACUAUUGUUCAAACUGUCAAAUUGAAAUUCCAUAUCUAUCAUACAACUAACAGAGCUUGUGGCCUAUACACGAAGAAAUGUCAUGUUCAGAGAAGCCAUAUAUACUAAUUAAGAAAACUCAAUUUUUAGCAAGACUCAUUCAUUCGACACGAGGAGGUUGGGGUAGGUUCAUGUGAUUUGGGCUCAGGGGCAGUAGGGAUGCAGGGCCUCCUGUAGGAUCAAAACAAAAGGAAGAGGUGGCGAAUCAUGAUUCUCUCACCUGGCACCAUGUUGUUGGCAUCAAAAACAGGGGAGGGUCACAAGGGAUCUGUCCCUAGGGACACGGCUGCAUAGAACAUACAAAGCCAGAACACAAAUAAAAAUUUGAAUGCUUCAUCUAACAACAUAUCACUUUAUUGGUCCAGAAAUCAACAUGGGUUCACAAGAUCUUGAAUGAAAGAUACGGUAACAUCAAGCCACAUAUAGGACUAUGUAUGGAUUGACAUCACUAACCACUGUAUGUCUGAGUGAAAACCUAAAACCGAAUAAGUGAUGUAAAUUUUCUUAUAAAGCUAUCAGGCUACAAAUGAACACACGACCACAUCCAUGCUGAACAAACACGCGCUCUGCGCCACUGUUAUUACGACUCCUCCAUACGGUGGCGCCUCCUGGAUAUGUCUCUCCUCUAGUGUCUCACACACCAGCCAUGACGCCUCAAUAGAUCACCAAAAAAGGUUUCUAGUUAUUCUUAUGCAGUUAUAGCCAAUUGUUCAGAGCAUACAAAGCUUGUAAGAUCUCAGUGGUAGUGCCACAAAAUCAUACUUGCACAAUGCCACUAUGACAGUAUAAGACAUAUUAAAUUCAAAUAGAAGGGAUGUUCCCAAUCAACCUCAGUUGAAUUAGCAUUAUGAGCUUCUCAAGCUGUUAAUUGCAAAAAAGAGCAUAUUUAUCCCAACAAUUCAACAGAAAGUAUUGCUCUUAUCAUUUCUCAACUAACACUAUGCUAACCAGAUAAGACAUAAAAGAACAGUGAUAAGGAUUUCCCCACUGCCGCUAGUCUUAAAAAUUAUACCUCACGAACAGGGAAAUUAUUGUAGUGAGUGUUUAUAUGUUCAUGUAUACAAAAGUUAUAAAUGGUAAGGAUUCUAACACCAUGGUCAUGCAACUCACAAAUAAAAGUUUCUCAGUGUUGUAUGUUCAUUACAGUUAUACAUAUGAAAACCGUGUGCACGUACCACUGAAAGGCUCCUUCAGCGGUUAAGAACAACAAAUUAGAAGGAAUUUGUCAUAUAUAUAUAGGGUUAAUAAAAUAAAACAAUAGUUACGUUUCCCUUAAAAAGCAGUAUAUGUUUUAACAGUAGCAAAAAAAUGUUAGUUAAACUGAAUACAGAGCACACUUGUUAUCUGCAACUGAGUUAGCUCAACAGCAAAAAACAUGUAAAUACAAAAAAGUGAAGGAAGAAUGCAGAAAUUUUAUAAAUUUUCCUUAAAUCUACACUACCAAUGAAGCCUCAAGAAUUGGCAAAAUAGCUGAAGUAUAGUGGAUCUAGUGUAGCUUCAUUUACCGUAGGGGCCCAUUUCCGCACAAAAAAGGAGGCUGGAUUUCUGUUUUCUGCAGCCACAACCAGUACCAACAAAAGGUGAGAUGCAUAUUUCACAGAGUAGCACAGCAGCAGGCUACAUGAGGGGGAAACAACAGGACUAAAAGGUACCAUGCCAUUGGUCCAAAUUAUGCACAUCAUUUAUCUGAAGCGUCAUAUUGUCUCAAUCUACAUAUCUCAUUGGCCAAUCCAUGAAUUUGUGCCUCUCCAUCUGCAUCCAUAUACACCUCCACCAAGUAAGCAUAAACCAAAGCAUAGACUUUUACCGGAAAAUUGAGGAAGGGGCGAGGAGGAGCUAGUAUACCGGAUGGGUUGGAGACGCAGUUGUGUGCCCAACACAGUUCUCUGGCAUGAUUAUUUGCAAUGCAGGUGUUAAACUGCAGAAAGAAUGCACCAAUCUCCAAAAUAGUGAAAGAACUCUCAUUAUGAGGCAAAAUGGUCAAACU